Molecule: ribosomal RNA, 468 nt
Filed under: uncultured bacterium
Lineage: Bacteria
Description: partial 16S ribosomal RNA
Rfam family: Bacterial small subunit ribosomal RNA
Source: RNAcentral
GACGAACGCUGGCGGCGUGCUUAACACAUGCAAGUCGAACGGAAAGGCCCUGCUUUUGUGGGGUGCUCGAGUGGCGAACGGGCGAGUAACACGUGAGUAACCUGCCCUUGACUUUGGGAUAACUUCAGGAAACUGGGGCUAAUACCGGAUAGGAGCUCCUGCUGCAUGGUGGGGGUUGGAAAGUUUCGGCGGUUGGGGACGGACUCGCGGCUUAUCAGCUUGUUGGUGGGGUAGUGGCUUACCAAGGCUUUGACGGGUAGCCGGCCUGAGAGGGUGACCGGCCACAUUGGGACUGAGAUACGGCCCAGACUCCUACGGGAGGCAGCAGUGGGGAAUAUUGCACAAUGGGCGGAAGCCUGAUGCAGCAACGCCGCGUGCGGGAUGACGGCCUUCGGGUUGUAAACCGCUUUCGCCUGUGACGAAGCGUGAGUGACGGUAAUGGGUAAAGAAGCACCGGCUAACUACGUG